GCAGCGAGAGGCCCGCGCUGAGGCGGCGCAGCGCAAAGGGGCGGACGCUGAGGGCGGCCAGGGCGCGGCCGGCCGCCGGGAACUCGAGGCGCAGCGUGACGGCGGCGUGCAGCCCCACGGCCGGGCUGUAGCGCGUGAGCUCCAGGAACACAGCGCGGCUCCUGCGCAGAGGGUGCGGGGUCUGGCUGGACUAAAGGCAAAACUAAAGCCCAGAAGACAGACCAGUGCACCGGAUGCCCGUACCGCGUGAUGGCCAGGAAGGCCCGGCUGUGCAGCUCCUGCUUGAUGGCGCUUUGCAGACGGAGUGCUGGACCUGAGGGACAUGGUAGGCUGUGAAUUCAUCCCGGCCUCCAGGAGGCAGUUGCAGCCAAGCCCAUGUUAACCUGGGCGGGCAGUUUCUUGAGCCUCUUGGGUCACAGGGUCCCCCCGACAAAAAGCCGGAAGACCCUACCCCAAACGAGAGUGGGAGUGGUGCUGGGAGCCAGGGAACCAAGAGCCACUCCAGGCACCGAAGUCAGGCGUCCGCCUGCGUCCCUCUCCCGCCCGCUUGCUGCUGAUAAACCCAUCGCCCACAGCCUGACCAGCUGCCCUUACAGCAGUGCACAGUCUCUCAGGGUGCAAUGAGCCCCCCUUCAACCCUGCAAACUAUGAUUGGGUCUCAACCAUCCAACAAGCAUCUCUACAAUCUAGAGACGCCAGUGUGUCUGUCCCAUGCAGGUUUAUGGCCUAAAAUUAACUUCUGGACAAGGAAACAUAUGAAUGCCUUUCAAAUCCCAACAGUGUGUAGGGCUCCCUGAGGCCAGAGAUCUGCUUGUGUCUCCAGGAGCCAGUGACCACCGAGGCUGUGCCACUGCAUCGGGCCACCAUGCUGAUAUGCCCGGUCCCAGAGCUGCUAGAGAAGAGGUACAGAGGCAGCGAAGACACGUUGAGGGGGAGGACGAGACCAACUGCGAGACGCCGAGUCCCGGGCUCUCAGGACGCUCUCCCGUACCUGCGCCCUCGUCAGCCCAUCACCGAAAGAACGGCCUGACCCAGGGUCACACUGCACUGAAUGCUUCCUGUUUUGCUGUCUCUCGGAGGAUAAAAGACACUCUUGGCUGGGCGCAGUGUCUCAAGCCU
Molecule: long non-coding RNA, 1119 nt
Filed under: Homo sapiens (human)
Lineage: Eukaryota; Metazoa; Chordata; Mammalia; Primates; Hominidae
Description: HSALNT0384046
Source: RNAcentral